GAUGAACGCUAGCGGCAGGCCUAACACAUGCAAGUCGAGGGAGAAGCCCUUCGGGGCAGAAACCGGCGCACGGGUGCGUAACGCGUAUGCAACCUACCUUUCACAGGGGGGUAGCCCGAAGAAAUUUGGAUUAAUACCCCAUAAUAUUAUUGGAUGGCAUCAUUUGAUAAUUAAAAUUACGAUGGUGAAAGAUGGGCAUGCGUCCUAUUAGCUAGUUGGAGUGGUAACGGCACCCCAAGGCUACGAUAGGUAGGGGUCCUGAGAGGGAGAUCCCCCACACUGGUACUGAGACAGGGACCAGACUCCUACGGGAGGCAGCAGUGAGGAAUAUUGGUCAAUGGUCGGAAGACUGAACCAGCCAUGCCGCGUGCAGGAAGAAUGCCUUAUGGGUUGUAAACUGCUUUUAUAUGGGAAGAAUAAGGCGUA
Molecule: ribosomal RNA, 426 nt
Filed under: Capnocytophaga granulosa
Lineage: Bacteria; Pseudomonadati; Bacteroidota; Flavobacteriia; Flavobacteriales; Flavobacteriaceae
Description: bacterial SSU rRNA
Rfam family: Bacterial small subunit ribosomal RNA
Source: RNAcentral